UACGUAGGUGGCGAGCGUUGUCCGGAUUUACUGGGCGUAAAGGGAGCGUAGGCGGGCUUUUAAGUGAGAUGUGAAAUACUCGGGCUCAACUUGAGUGCUGCAUUUCAAACUGGAAGUCUAGAGUGCAGGAGAGGAGAAUGGAAUUCCUAGUGUAGCGGUGAAAUGCGUAGAGAUUAGGAAGAACACCAGUGGCGAAGGCGAUUCUCUGGACUGUAACUGACGCUGAGGCUCGAGAGCGUGGGGAGCAAACAGG
Molecule: ribosomal RNA, 253 nt
Filed under: uncultured bacterium
Lineage: Bacteria
Description: partial 16S ribosomal RNA
Rfam family: Bacterial small subunit ribosomal RNA
Source: RNAcentral